AUGACCUCCAGGCUCUCAGAUACCAAGAUUGUACAAGACCUAACCCAGAGAAUUACUCAAGACACUUUCUACACAAGAAGAAUUGUGGUCCUAGCUCUCCUCAUAGAAAAAUGUUUUCUGUCUCUUGUUGAAAUUGACAGCAAACACAACAACACAGAACUAUUUGGGAGAACAGAGGACAGUGAUACACUAGGGAAGUGCAGGAGUCAGCCCCAGUCAGGACACAGCACGGAUGUGAGGGCCCCCACUCAGCUCCUGGGGCUCCUGGUGCUCUGGCUGACAGGUGCCAGAUGUGACAUCCAGAUGACCCAGUCUCCAUCCUCCCUGUCUGCAUCUGUAGGAGACAGAGUCACCAUCACUUGCCAGGCGAGUCAGGGCAUUAGCAAUAAUUUAAAUUGGUAUCAGCAGAAACCAGGGAAAACUCCUAAGCUCCUGAUCUAUGCUGCAUCCAGUCUGCAAAGUGGGAUUCCCUCUCGGUUCAGUGACAGUGGAUCUGGGACAGAUUACACUCUCACCAUCAGCAGCCUGCAGCCUGAAGAUUUUGCAACUUAUUACUGUCAACAGAGAUUCACAGAUCCAGGAUUCACAGAUCCAGGAUUCAAGGGGGUGGAUGUGAAAGUGGAACCACUCACUAUGAUGCACUAG
Gorilla gorilla gorilla (western lowland gorilla) is the source of this 645-nucleotide non-coding RNA. The record is from the annotation of a RefSeq genome assembly. Lineage: Eukaryota; Metazoa; Chordata; Mammalia; Primates; Hominidae.